GAAUGCUGACAUAAGUAACGAUAAUGCGGGUGAAAAACCCGCACGCCGGAAGACCAAGGGUUCCUGUCCAACGUUAAUCGGGGCAGGGUGAGUCGACCCCUAAGGCGAGGCUGAAAAGCGUAGUCGAUGGGAAACAGGUUAAUAUUCCUGUACUUGGUGUUACUGCGAAGGGGGGACGGAGAAGGCUAGGCUAGCCGGGCGACGGUUGUCCCGGUUUAAGCAUGUAGGCGGAGUGACCAGGUAAAUCCGGUUGCUUAUCAACGCUGAGGUGUGAUGACGAUGCACUACGGUGCAGAAGUAGUUGAUGCCAUGCUUCCAGGAAAAGCCUCUAAGCAUCAGGUAACAUGAAAUCGUACCCCAAACCGACACAGGUGGUCAGGUAGAGAAUACUCAGGCGCUUGAGAGAACUCGGGUGAAGGAACUAGGCAAAAUGGUGCCGUAACUUCGGGAGAAGGCACGCUGGCAUUA
This 468-nucleotide ribosomal RNA is filed under the name Yersinia enterocolitica. RNAcentral's name for it is "partial 23S ribosomal RNA". It matches the Rfam family "Bacterial large subunit ribosomal RNA", at positions 1292 to 1759 of the family's 2925-position model. Lineage: Bacteria; Pseudomonadati; Pseudomonadota; Gammaproteobacteria; Enterobacterales; Yersiniaceae. RNAcentral also lists the same sequence under 1 other name. The record is from RNAcentral.